UUGCACAUGUAUAAGAACCUAUUGCAGCAGUAUGCUCAAAAGCAAAAUCUUGGUUUUCCUGUAUAUACUUCUGAAGCUGAAGGUCCUCCCCAUGCUCGCCGCUUCAAGUCAAGAGUUUGUUUAGACGGAAAAUCAUAUGAGACAUUUGAAUUUUUUUCCCACACUAAAGGAAGCUGAACAAGCAGCUGCUAAAGUUGCUUGUCAGGUGUUGUCUGUGGAUGUGGUCCAAGAGGAUGCAGGGUUAUACAAAAAUCUUCUACAAGAAUUUGCU
This is a non-coding RNA of Sesamum indicum (sesame), 271 nucleotides long. NCBI's taxonomy places the organism in Eukaryota, Viridiplantae, Streptophyta, Magnoliopsida, Lamiales, Pedaliaceae. The record is from RefSeq and is a predicted model, not a curated record.